This 406-nucleotide ribosomal RNA is filed under the name uncultured bacterium. Its description in RNAcentral is "partial 16S ribosomal RNA". It matches the Rfam family "Bacterial small subunit ribosomal RNA", at positions 29 to 526 of the family's 1533-position model. The record is from RNAcentral.
AUUGAACGCUGGCGGCAGGCUUAACACAUGCAAGUCGAGCGAGCGGCGGACGGGUGAGUAAUGUAUGGGAAACUGCCUGAUGGAGGGGGAUAAGUACUGGAAACGGUAGCUAAUACCGCAUACCAUCAGAUGUGCCGUGGGGGGAUUAGCUAGUAGGUGGGGUAAUGGCUCACCAAGGCGACGAUCCAUAGCUGGCCUGAGAGGAUGACCAGCCACAUUGGAACUGAGACACGGUCCAGACUCCUACGGGAGGCAGCAGUGGGGAAUAUUGAGCAAUGGGCGAAAGCCUGAGGCAGCCAUGCCGCGUGGGUGAAGAAGGCCUUCGGGUUGUAAAGCACUUUCAGCGGGGAGGCGUUACCCGCAGAAGAAGCACCGGCUAACUCCGUGCCAGCAGCCGCGGUAAUUC